AUGACAAAAUUCAAGAUCUGGUUUUUCAGAGACUCACAACAUUUGAUUCCAUCCAUUGAACAUGCUGCUAAGUGGAACGCUAUUAGAACCUAUGUGGAUAUAGCUCUAAAAAAUCUGAAUACUUUCCCUUCUAAGUAUGUAGCUUCUUCAAGCCAAAAGCAAGAGCAAUUUGAGGCAAAACUGGCUUCGAUAGUUGCUAAUCAAGAGGUUAUGGGAGCUCAGCUUCAAUCUGUGGUUGCUAAUCAAGGCUCACUAAUUAAAAAGCAAGAGAAAUGGAUGCUUAGUUAA
Non-coding RNA from Vicia faba (fava bean), 288 nucleotides. Lineage: Eukaryota; Viridiplantae; Streptophyta; Magnoliopsida; Fabales; Fabaceae. The record is from the annotation of a GenBank genome assembly.